UACGAGUACCCCGAGCAUUAUCCGGAAUUAUUGGGCGUAAAGGGUGAGUAGGCGGUGCAAUUAGUCGUGUGUUAAAUCCCAGAGCUUAACUUUGGAUUCGCACACGAAACGGUUGCACUAGAGAAUGUGAGAGGUGAAUGGAACUCAUAGUGUAGGGGUGAAAUCCGUUGAUAUUAUGGGGAACACCAAAUGCGAAGGCAAUUCACUGGCACAUUUCUGACGCUCAAUCACGAAAGCGUAGGUAGCGAAUGGG
RNAcentral lists this ribosomal RNA (253 nucleotides) under uncultured bacterium. RNAcentral describes it as "partial 16S ribosomal RNA". It matches the Rfam family "Bacterial small subunit ribosomal RNA", at positions 524 to 776 of the family's 1533-position model. The record is from RNAcentral.